RNAcentral lists this ribosomal RNA (31 nucleotides) under Fagus grandifolia (American beech). RNAcentral's name for it is "partial 18S ribosomal RNA". Lineage: Eukaryota; Viridiplantae; Streptophyta; Magnoliopsida; Fagales; Fagaceae. The record is from RNAcentral.
UUUCGGUAGGUGACCUGCGGAAGGAUCAUUG